RNAcentral lists this long non-coding RNA (688 nucleotides) under Lynx canadensis (Canada lynx). RNAcentral describes it as "lncRNA (ENSLCNG00005022062.1)". The record is from RNAcentral. Lineage: Eukaryota; Metazoa; Chordata; Mammalia; Carnivora; Felidae.
UUUCUUCCCAUUCAAGAACAAGCCAGGACAAGUGAUUCUGGAAAAGGGGAGGGGACUGGCGAGGGGGAGAGGAUACUUACGCGGUGCAGAGGGCAGUGGGACCGAGCGUGGUUUUGCCGGCAGGGAGAGGAGAACACGCGCGCGCACACACGCGGCGGUGUCUUGCGGGUGAUGAAUGUGAUAAUUGGACCGGGGCCGAUGGCAAACCUUUCCUACAGAAGCUGCCCAUCAGACCAGUGAAACCCGCAGGACAAAAAGUUCUAUUCAAGAAGGGAACAACAAGGAGGAAAAAAAGGUCAACAUUCCCAGGUAAAACUAAAACAAAUGUGUAUCAUCUAUCGUUUGCUUUUACAUGUCUGAAUGGACAACUUCCCCAAAUCUAUGUAAACUACAACGCUUCAUAAAAUUCUGUUCCAGUGAACCAAUGAACACAGGCACGCCCCGACAUAAUUAAAAGCGAACCCAGCCAAAGGCAGCUGUGAGAAGGCAAAGAAAGAUAGGCAGGAAGGUGCUAUCCCUGGCUGUGACUCUGCAGUCGUGUGAGGGGAAGAAAGCCAGAGAAAUGGAAUGGGCUGAACUAGCAGAGAAACAUCGAGAAGGCUGACAAUUUUAGAACCGGAGACGGCUGACUAGCUAAUUACUCAUCCCAAAAAAGGUAUUCGCUGGGACCCUCCGAAAGCUUGAGAUA